CUUGAAGUGAAGAAUGAUGAUGAGAUAGAUGACGUCCACGAAAGCUAAGGAAACUUCGUCCUACGUCGCUCUACGUCGUUCUACACCUGUUUUCGUCGUUCUGCUUCAAGACUAAAGGUUAAUGUUAAAUGGAAGCCAAGAGAAGAAAUAUCAUCCUAAAUAAUCAGUACAACUGAGGGACUUCAGUCACAUCCUCAUUUGCAGAGACGUUUAGGGAGUGGAGAUUCUACCAACCUUGCAAAGUUUCCAGUUAUCCCAUGAGAGAGACCUUGAUCACCUAUCCCAUGUGAGAGAUCUUGGUCACUUUUUUUUAAUACGUACACAUUGACGAUCCCGAAAACGAAUACCGCGUGCAUACUAUAACAAUGCUGGUACCGAGUGGCCGAGCCACGCCACCACGUGUACAUAGUAGAUGCAUGACGGGAGGGAUGGUGGCCAAUAGGAGAGAAGGAUUUCAUGGCCGCGACUAGCAUCAGGAACCAAUGGGAGAGCAGGAGGAUGGUGGCGAAUCUACUAGUACUAAGAUGGCGGCACGCGACACGAUUUUCAAAAUGUUAUCCGGGCGAAUCUUGGACUUUCAGAAACCUUUUGUAUCUUGAAAACUUUUUUCGUAUGUAGAGCCGUUAAAUUUUUCAUAUUGGCUUUCGUAUCUCGAGUUUUUCGUAAGUUGAGCCUUUCGUAUCUCGAGGUACUAUUGUACUUCAGUUUUUCUACUCUGAAAACCUUUUCAAGUGAAAAGGCAUUGUGGUUCUCAAAUUGUUUGAUCUUGAACUUGGUGGAAAAUUCAAUCUACAGUAUAAGGAAAUCCUUUUUAAAAGUUACCAAACCAACAUUGUCAAAUUGGUAUUUACUGUUGAUGAGAUGUAAUUUCAGAUCUCCCAUUUUCCCAUCAAAAGUAACUUCUUUCAAGGAUAGAAAGUUAUAUAAGCGUAAGUGUCCGCUUUUAAUAUUUACAGUGAAAGUGUUGCUCAUUUACGUCACAUAAUUUUAUUUCACCUAAUUGGUUAAGAUCUUAACACCACAAAGUUUUUUUGUCAAAUUAGUUAUUCAGAUUUGAAAAUUUAGGAUUUAAACUGAUGCAUGAUGAUAGUGUAAAGUGAAAAGAUCAUUACUGUAGCACAGCCAUUAAAGAAAACUAGAAAAGUGCUGUGUAAGUAGAUGUAAACGUGAGACUUGAGACACAGGACCAUUUCCAUGUCAGCCCUCAUGAAACUUGUGGAAACAAUCUUGGUUUUAAACCUCUUCAAAAUCUUGGCUUCAAACUUCAAAUGGGCACCAUUUUCGACAAAUAACAUUUUUUUUCUCCAAACAUUGACAAUUUCAGUAAAGCUAAAGCUGGUAAGGAACGUCCAUAAAAGAGACCAUACAAGUUUUUGUUUUGACAAACCUAGACUAGUGUUGUUUAGACACGUCAUUUUGCUAAAGUAUUUCAAAUGACUGUAAAGAUAGUUUUAAUUUUUAGUAUGUUUUUCAAAGUGGUUAGUUGUUCUCUUAAAAAAAAAAAUUUUAAAAAGUAAUUUUGACAGAUUUGCUCAGCGUAGUUUUACAUUUCUUUCUUGAAUGUAAAAUUUUUCAGUAUGUAAUUUUAUUACUUUUAUCAAUAGGUAAAUGCACAUGACUUAAUAUAUGAGUUAACAUAGAUAUUUUUUAUGUAAGUCCAUGUGUUCAGGUUGGAAAGGCACUACCUUGGUUUGAGUACUUGAACAUUUUGGGUGUUUUCAUAAGAAUGCGCUUUGUUGAUAUUGGUAUAAAUCCCUUCCUUAGUGUACAUAAGAUGAGUGAUAUCUUGGAACUGUAUGUUACUAUAAUCCUCAGAUGUAAUUUUAGUUGCCCUCGGUACAACUUUAUACAUUACAGCAUUGUACUUUGUAAUGGGAGUUUUUUUUUUUUUUUUUUUUUUUUUUUUUUU
Molecule: long non-coding RNA, 1909 nt
Organism: Macrobrachium nipponense
Lineage: Eukaryota; Metazoa; Arthropoda; Malacostraca; Decapoda; Palaemonidae
Exons: 3
Source: RefSeq, a predicted model, not a curated record